UACGAAUGGGGCAAGCGUUGUUCGGAAUCACUGGGCUUAAAGCGUGCGUAGGCGGAUUUGCAAGUCAGAAGUGAAAUCCCCGGGCUUAACCCGGGAAUUGCUUUUGAAACUGCAAAUCUAGAAUCCUGGAGAGGUUAGCAGAAUUCCGAGUGUAGAGGUGAAAUUCGCAGAUAUUCGGAGGAAUACCAGUGGCGAAGGCGGCUAACUGGACAGGCAUUGACGCUGAGGUACGAAAGCGUGGGUAGCAAACAGG
This 253-nucleotide ribosomal RNA is filed under the name uncultured bacterium. RNAcentral describes it as "partial 16S ribosomal RNA". It matches the Rfam family "Bacterial small subunit ribosomal RNA", at positions 524 to 776 of the family's 1533-position model. The record is from RNAcentral.